Esox lucius (northern pike) is the source of this 3570-nucleotide long non-coding RNA. Lineage: Eukaryota; Metazoa; Chordata; Actinopteri; Esociformes; Esocidae. The record is from Ensembl.
GGCUUUGAAUUCCGUCGAUCCAAACUGUUACACAAUCCAAAGCAUUUAACGUCAUAGCUGCUUCGUCUGUUUAGCUAACCUGGAUGAAACCACAUGUUGGAAAACCAUCCUCCGCGUAAAGCGCGCAAAACUGAACGUGACCUUGUCAGCGACAGACCAUAGUUUUGUUCUAACAUGUAUUCUAGUUAAUAACAAAUUUGAAAACCUGUAUUUUUCAGGAGCUGAACGAAUUUCAGUCUUUGACUUUUAUUGUAUUUGUAAUCCCCGAGAAAAGGAAGGGAAGACGAGAGGGGCCGGCCGGCGCUGACUUUGAACGUCGGACGUCUUCUCAAAAGGACUCAAGAUCAGGUGGACAGCACUUCCUCCUCUUUUCUGACACACCCAUUGUUGAGGGCCGAGGACAAAUGAGGUAAUACAAGCAGACACAUAGUCACUUAAAACAGUAGGGGCUGGCCGGUGGCAUGCUACAAGCCUUUCCCAUGAAGACUCUCUUUUGCAUCUGAGUGUGUUUGCUUCAAAGGUCCUGACCCUCAGAGAGAUAGUGCUUUAGGUUUACCCACUUUAAAGCAAACGCUGCAAUUCUCUCUGACAUUCAUAAACAGAGCUAUGGACGGCAAGAUCCGACCGGCCGUGAUGUCAGAAUAAUAGUCUAAAGCGAUGUUUCCCAAGCCGCCGCAGCAGCCUCUCCUGGGGCCUCCACAGCUGUUCCAUGUAUUAGAUGUAACCCAGAGCUAGCACACCUGAAUCACCUAGUUAACUAAUUAUCAAGCCCUUGGCUGCUUGAUUCAGGUGAGCCAGAUCAGGGCUACAUCUAAUACAUGGAGGUUUGAGAACCGCUGGUAUGAAGUAAACUUGGUUUUGCGUGUUUGUUUAAAUUAACUUUCUUUACAAACAUCAGUGUAAGACGAGCUGAUCCGUUUCUAAUGGACUACAUGGGUUAAACUGAAGUCAUAUACCUUAUUUUCUUAAAACAUCAGCGCAUAAACAUCGCUAAUCGGUAGGUCGAGAAAUGAAUGCAGGAACUCGAGAUUGCCACUUUAAACAUCCUACUAACUCUUAACGUGACCCUACUAUGUCAACUGAGAGCAGGGAACCUUCGUUGGGAACCUUCCCUCAGGGUUCAUAAGGUCCCUGUGGUUCCAUGUUCUGCCUGCAUUCUCACCCCCCGGCGCCUCCGUUCUGAGCCCGCCAAGAGGGAGUCCCAUAGACGCUAUGUCUCGCAGUGGAGGUGUGAUGUGUGCUGUAAUGCGUGUCUGACGUGGUAGAGUUGAAUGCACCCCUGCCAGAGGGUGUGGAGAAAUACUGAUAAUUGUAGAUGUCACAACAAGUUUCCUUCCAGGCUGUACAUAAAGGCACUGUGUAAUUGAUAUGAGGGCAAAUUUAACAUAACUUGUCACAGUUGUUGUUUCACAAGCUAGUGGGUUGUCUUACAUUUAUUAUUUAGCUAUUCGUCAUCUUCAGGCAUCCAUUUUAAUGUACUUACAUGAUAAAUUAUGUUGGUCUACGUGUUCGAUGCCAACGUGUAGGCGUGCGCGUGCGUUUGUGUGUGUGGGUCGGUUUGUGUGUGUGUGUGUGUGUGUGUGUGUGUGUGCGGGCAUGCAGAUUGAUGUGUGCCUGUACUCAUAACUGACUGCAAAGUUAUGCUCAGUUGUGUGGGUUAUCAGUUAGAUAAGUCAGGCAGUCAAAAUGUCAGUCAUCCAGUUAGUCAGUCAGUCAGUCAGACGGCCAGUUAGCCAGUCAGUCGGUAAGUUAGUCAGUCAUCCAGCCAGUCAGUCCAGGUUGUAAGCUAGCCAGCCAAUCAGUCAGUCCAGGUUGUAAGCCAGCCAGCCAAUCAGUCAAACUGAAAGCUGCUGAUUCAACGCAUGAUGCGGAGGGUAAAACAUCAGACUGUUCAGACAGAAAGAAAGACAGAAAGAGAAAAGAGAAAGAGAGAAAGAGAGGGGUCUUUAUCAACUUCCUCAAUGACUCAAGCCCCUCACAGCCAUUCCUCUAAACAAUGGAUCAGUGCUUCAUCUCGGGUGUUUGCUCUGUCAGACAGCACAGCGAGGCUCAGACUUGUCCCAGUGAGGGCAGACCUCCAUUCAGCAGUAACUGUUUGCUCAGGGAUCACUUUACAUUGCUCAUUACUUGUCUGCAGGAGGCUACUGGACUCACCUCAGCAAACAAACAGUCCAACAACCUUUAAAUGGUGAGAAAAUGUUGAAAGCAUUGGUCUGAGUUGCAACCGUUUUCUACUGCUGUCGAGAAAAAGAGCUCAGAGUAUGAGUUAUGAAUACGGAUCUACAUACACAGAUGUGCAUGCGUGCGCAUACGCGCAAGCGUCCACGUGAAACACUAUUGCAAUCCGUGAUACGUUUUUUGUAAAUAUUUGUUGUAUUUCACCGGAUUUACAAAUUGUAAAAUUAGGAUCCACAGAUGACACUCGGUUUUCUCAUCUGGACUAGUCUCAGCACUGGCCACACCAGUUUACAUUUUCUAGUCCGGCUUAGCAGGAAUUACAUUUACAUUUUUAAAACAGUAACAUGCAAAGUGAGAGCCGCCUUUUAGAUCAAGACAGAUUAAAAUUCUGAUAGGGCUAGUACAGGUUCAGAUUGAACAUUCUGAUAGGCCCAUUACAGGUUCAGAUUGAACAUUCUGAUAGGCCUAUUACAGGUUCAGACUGAACAUUCUGAUAGGCCUAUUACAGGUUUUGACUGAACAUUCUGAUAGGCCUAUUACAGGUUCAGACUGAACAUUCUGAUAGGCCUAUUACAGGUUCAGACUGAACAUUCUGAUAGGCCUAUUACAGGUUCAGACUGAACAUUCUGAUAGGCCUACUACAGGUUUUGACUGAACAUUCUGAUAGGCCAAUUACAAGUUCAGAAAGUUUGUACUGAACUAUAAUCAUGUGCACGUUUGAAGUACACAAAGCUACAGUAGAUUCUAUGAAUAUAAUGUAUGCAUUUUAAAUCGAUUCACAGGGUCUUUGGGUGAAGAGUUUCACCGGAACUCGUUAAACAAAAGCACAGAUCACAGACACUGCCUCUAAAUCGUACCAUCCACUUGUCUCAGCAGUCACAUGCGUCUCAAAUGGCAACACGGAGCCCUAUUGAGUGCACUAACUUUGACCAGUUAGGGGAUAGGUUGCCAUUUAGGAUACAGCCUCGAGUGUCUCUGGCAGCGUUGAAAGUGUGUGGGGGUGAGGUGUCGAGGACGGAGGAGAUACCGAGGCCUGUAAGAUGGAUGACGCUGCCACUUCCAAUCUCUUUUGUGUUGAUGUCCGUCACCAGGUGUCCAUGGGAACCCAACCACACGCACACACCCACACACACACACACACACACACAAACACACACACAUCUAUCGGCAUGUCCCUGCCAUUAACCACUCCCUAUCUGUCUUUCUGAGUAUUGUCCAAACAGCAAGCCAGCUCUCCUUGAGGACAGCAUCUUCUAAAACCUACUGUUAAAGUAACAUUUUCAUACAGCAGUAUAUGAUCGUUAGUGAAUCCCGCAAUCUCACAACUGUCUAAGUCCAACGUUGGAAAAUUUUAAGUGCAUUGGCCUAAAUCGUCCUUUAGGCCAAUUUGAA